AUGGACUGGACCUGGACAACCCUGCUCCUGGUGGCCGUGGCUACAGGUGUCCACUCCCAGGUGCAGCUGGUACAGCCUGGGGCUGAGGUGAGGAAGCCUGGGGCCUCAGUGAAGGUCUCCUGCAAGGCUUCUGGGUACACCUUCACCAGCUACUAUAUGCACUGGGUGCGACAGGCCCCAGGACAGGGGCUGGAGUGGAUGGGGUGGAUUUACCCUAACGAUGGCGAUACAGACUACGCCCAGAAGUUCCAGGGCAGAGUCUCCAUGACCAGAGACACAUCGACCAGCACAGCCUUCAUGGAGCUGAGCCGACUGAGCACCGAGGACACGGCCGUGUAUUUCUGUGCGAGACACACAGUGAGGGGAGGUCAGUGUGAGCCUGGCACAAACCUCCCUGCAGGAGGGGCUGUGGCCACCACGGCUCCUCAGGGUCCCUGA
This is a non-coding RNA of Miniopterus natalensis, 438 nucleotides long. Lineage: Eukaryota; Metazoa; Chordata; Mammalia; Chiroptera; Miniopteridae. The record is from the annotation of a RefSeq genome assembly.